AUUUACUCUUCGAAAGAUUAUUUUGAUGAAUGGCAAAAAAAUUUUGAUCAAUGUCACGAAGUGAUUUUGACUUAGUCCUUUUAAAAAGUAUCCCUCAAAAUCUACGGAAUUCGAAGCGAACUUGCAAAAUGAUACGAAGAGUAAUGGUGAUGAAUGAUCAAGGCAGCCCUCAUCUCGUUGAAUUCUGCGAAUUUCAGGUUGGAAUUUCAGAUUUUUCUUCAUCAAAUAAAAAUUAAAUCUAUACAUCCUCCCAUAACUCGAUUCAGUUUCAGUUUCGGGUUUUGAUUUCAUGAUUUCUUAACCGAAUUGAUGAAUCAUGAUUUAAAUUGUAAGAAUAUUCAGUGGAGAAGCAACAGGGGGUGGUUGGGGGGGUUUGCGGAUGUUAGGUUUUGUGUCUUUAAUAUUGUUUUGAUUUUUUGGGUUUUGUAUUAUGUUUUUUUUCUUAAUUUUUGUAUGAAUUCAGUUAUUUUUGUUUUGACCUCCUAGAAGAAAAGAUUUACUGUCAAUUAUGACUAGAAAUUAACUCUUCUUAAUAUGUGAAGUUAUGUGGUGCAGUUCUAUGCAGUAGAGCUGAGAAUGGGAGUAAUUUCAUUAAGUUUGAUUCGCUAUUUGGCUCGGUGUUUGCCUUCUCUUCUCUGGCCUUAAUCCUAAUGUGAUUAUAUUUGGCUGGAGUACAUAUUGCUGAAUGAUGUUGGUGGGGUCCUGCUUGCCCUCAUUUUCCUUUUUUGCAUGUGCAUGUUGUUGGGGGGGGAUCCUCUCUCGAUCGAAGUUCUAUGUGCAAUUGUAAUAUAAUUUUAACAUAUUUUCUUACCUUUUAUAACUCUUCUAAGGUUGGAACGUGGCCUAUAAAUACAAGGCUCCUCUCUCAGUUUUGUUUAUGCAUUAUUGUUGUGUCUGUAAUUUAUCUCCAUAUCGUCAAUUAAUAUACAUUGUUUCUCUGCGAUUAACUCUUUUUGUUCCUUUUUACUUUUAAUUUUGUUUCUUAUUAUGAUCUUUAUUACUUCAUAUUGUAUAAUUAUUUUCAUUCAUUACAUUCCCUCUAGAUCAAACAAGUGGUAUCGGAGUUUGGCUUUUUUUUUUUUUUUUCUGUGGAGCGGUUGAGAUUUUUUCAAAGAUGACUAUCAUGAAGUAUGACAUUUCGAUGCUGGACCACAAUACCAUGUUUUCUUUGUGGCAAGUAACGAUGAGGAAAAUUUUGACGCAGUUGGAUUUGGACGAUGCGUUACUGGAUUUUGAGAAGAUGUCAGUUGAUUGGACAACGGAGGGAUCGAAAGGCUUUAUUGCAAAUUCAUCUAUAUUUAUCCAAUAAUAUUCUGAAUGAAGUCUUGAAGGAGAAAAUAGCGGCUGCUUUGUGGUUGAAAUUAGAACAGUUAUGCAUGAAUAAAAGUCUCACGAUCAAACUGGCUCUAAAGAAGAAGUUGUAUUCCCAUCGCAUGGAAGAAAGAGGGUCACUGGAGGACCAUAUUGCCGUGUUCAAGGAAAUAGUUGCAAAUCCGGAGAUGUUAGAGGUUAAGUAUGAUGAAGAGGAUCUAGUCUUAAUUCUGUUGUGUUCGCUGUCUAGUUCUUAUCUGUCGUUUUGGAACACUAUUUUGUAUAGUCGGGAUGCUUUGAAUAUAGAUGACGUCUAUGAUGCUUUGCACUGAAAGAAGAAGUUGAAGCAUUUGGUUGGAGCUACAUCGAGAGAUGAGGAAGCUCUUGUAUCUCAUGGUGGUCGAUGGAGUGGCAGACCGAAGAAUAAUAGCAAUUUGUUUUGCUUCUAUUGCAGACAUAAGGGAUAUAUUCGAAAGGAUUGUGAUAAGUUGUAGGCUAAAGGUGAUUUAACUGCAAAUCGUGGAGUGCAACCAUUGACUUCAGACGAAACAAAUAUAGUUGAGAAUUUUUUCGACGAUGGAGAUGUGAUGUUGACCCUGGCAUCUGACGUAAAAUCUAGGCCUGACGAUGCGUGGAUUCUCGACUCGGUAUGUUCGUAUUAUAUGUGUUCCAAUUGGAAUUUCUUUAAGACAUAUGAGACUGUUCAGCAAGGUGGAGUUGUAAUGGGAAACAACCAGUCUUGCCGUAUUGCUGGGAUCGGUCGAGUCAGAUUUAGGCUGCUGGAUAGGAUAGUCAAAACAAUUAAUCAGGUUUGACAUGUUCCAAACUUGAAAAAGAAUCUCAUCUCGCUUAGUACUCUGAAUGUAAAAGGGUAUAAAUUCUCUAAUGGAGGUGGAGUUUUAAAUGUCCGAAAGGGUGUCCGAAUUAUACUAGAGGGACGGAUGCCUCAGUUGUGCAUGUUGUAGGGGAGCGCAGAACCAGCUAAAAGACAUAUGGACAAGUUCAGUACCGUGGUAGAUAUUCAAUUUGGUACAGUACUUCUUGUGAAGGACUCUAGGUCGGUUCAGAAUAUUGCUCGAGGAAGCGUUGGUGAUUCCGCUUUGCCACCAAUUUCAGCAAUUACAUUGUGUUCAGUUGCUAGGAUUGGAUCAAUUAAGCUUAGGUACGGUGGGGUCAAUGAUGUCUGUAAUGCUUUUGGGGACGUUGGAGGUGACAGUUCUAAUAAGGGGCCUUUUGUUCAGGCAUUUUGUAUGAUUUCUGCUACAGAGUGUGUUUCGACCCUAUUUGGUAAACAUUAAUUCCUUGGUGGAAUUUUGGGAACUCGGGCGUAGGGUUCAGGUGUCGUUUGUAGAUGCCGUGCAGAAGACGAUGGUUUAAAUGGAGAGUUUUGGUUACUGCAUUAAAGAAAUUAGCUAUUUUAUUUUGAUACAAAUGGAUUUAUUUCUCAGGUGGAGAAAUUUUGUGAAGUUUCGCUCGUUGCACCGAAAUUUGAGUUAAGGUGGAGAUUGUUAGAUUUUGUGACUCAAAUAUGAUUAGGAGUCUUGUGAGAUUGUAUAUUUGAUUUUUACUGGGAAACGAAGAUUGUAUUCAAGUUGAAUAAGGAAAGGAAAUUCUCUUUGGGUUGAAGUUCUAUGUGCAAUUGUAACAUAAUUUUAACAGAUUUUCUUACUUUUUAGAACUCUUCUAGGAUUUGGAACGUGGCCUAUAAAUACAAGGCUCAUCUGUCAGUUUUGUUUAUACAUUAUUGCUGUGUCUAUAAUUUCUCUCCAUAUUGUUAAUUAAUAUACAUCGUUUCUCUGUGAUUAACUCUAUUUUUUCUUUUUUACUUUUAAUCUUGUUUCUUAUUGUGAUCUUUAUUACUUUAUAUUGAGUCAUUAAUCUCAUUCAUUACAAUCCCUUCGAGUCCAACAUGGGGUAAAAACAUGGGGUAAAGGCUGGCUGGAGAAAUUAGCAAACACUAUAUUCAUAGUUGUAUGAACCAACAAUAGAUUGAUCAAUGACAAUUGUUUGAGUUUCAAUGUGGAUUAUCCUUGGGGUUCUUGCCCCUUGGUGCAUCUUGUACUUAGAAUCUACAAAUAAUACUUUGCUGGAUGUGAGGCUUGUGUACAAUACUUAUGCGACUCGAUACUUUGUAUUCAUAUUUGAUAGCUCUGACAAUGAGCUUGCAAUGCUUGAUCUUAUGCAAGGUAUAUCUAGUCCAUCAAUUGAUGUGUUCAAACUUUGUCUCAUUGAACUUUUACUCCCACUUCAUUGAUCCUCUGCAUAAUUGAAGCAACUAUGACAGUAAAUCAUGACAUAGCUUAGAAACAUAAAUCAAGUAAGAAAGAAAGUUGAUUCACCUGUAUGUCAUAUUUUGGUCACGUCAUUAUUUUUAAAAUGCAUGUGAUUCUACUGUAUACAAGUUGUAUCCUGGAACAAACAUCACCAGGUUGAUUUGUAAAACUGUGGGUAUCCACUUUUUAUUAUUACAGUACUAGCACUGGACAUGUUGUAAAAGCCUAUUAACUGAGCUUAUUGAUUUUAUUUAGCUUUGAACUAGUCCCAGGUUCCUACUGACAUAGAAGAGCAUAAAAAACUAGGCAUUGUUCUGUUUCCAUUUUGAAAUUUGUACUCGUGGAAUUGUGUGUUAGAGACACCUAUCUAUUUCUGUUGGUUUGUUUAUUUUAAUCAUUGAAUUACAGUUUUUGUAGAGGCAUUGGGCAAGUGUUUCAGUAAGGUAUGUGAGCUAGACAUGUUAUUCAACUUUAACAAGGUUAUUAUUCUUUUCUUUAAAAUUAGAAAAACCCAUAUAAAAAUAAUUACUGAUUUUUUGCGUAGUCAUCCUUACUGCUAUGCAACGUGAUGCGGAAUCAUUUUUACUGUACUAGUCUAAUAGUUGAUUACUCUGGUUAAACUGUUUGUUGUUAUUGCCAUCACAAGCUUGUAAUGAGCAAUUGACAGUUAUUUCUGCUAAGCUCGCCAAGAUUUCAAGUGAUAAGAAAUUGAUAUAGUGGAGCAACCAAACAUUGUUUUAUGUCUAUUAACUUCUUAUUUAAGUCCUAGCACUUUGUAUUGAUUUUACUAGUGAAUUUUGUUGCUACUACAUAUGCUCAUGCUGCAAUAGUGGAAACUGUUUCAGUACUUUUAGCCUAAUAUCAGUGCAAAUGAGUAGAAUUUUUUUAUUACUUUUGGAUACGUGCCAGUUUUGCUUAGUGCUUAAUAUAUACAAAUCUCAAGAAGCCUUUCAAAUCCUUGUUCUGUAGAAUCAUGAUAGUCGCUGCCCAUGGGUAUAAUUCAUGUUUGAGCUGUUUUGCAGGCGCAUAUUAUUUUGAUGAAUUCAUUUUGGGCGGUCAAGUUCUAGAGAAAUUUUUUUCAGAAGUUGUGAAGACAGUUGAAGAAAUCUCAAUCCAAAUCUCCUAAUUACACGAUAGAGAAGGAUGGAGAUAGUGCUGAGACUUGCACUAUAAGGUUUCAUGCAGGGCCCCCUUAUGAAGACAUAGUAAGUCAUCGUCGUUGUCUCCUUUCGGUUUCCAGUAUAUUUUGUUGUCUUCAUCGUCUCCUUUUGUUUUCCAGUAUAUUUUGUCGUCUUCGUCAUCUCCUUUUGUUUUCCAGUAUAAGGUUUAAUUGGAAUUUUGUCGUCCACUGAUGACUAGUUCUGUUGGAAACUUAUGAAUUGACAUGACUACGCCCCCUGACUGGUCUCCUCAUCUGUGUGCUAGGCAUUUCGAAUUGUCAACAAAGAAUGGGAGUACUCGCACAAGAAGGGCUUCAAGAGUACGUUUGAACGCGGGAUCUUGAAUCUGUAUUUCAACUUUAAACGUUAUCGAUACCGUCGUUGAUACUAUUUUGGCACGGAAAAUGGUAGAGGCCUGGAUAUUGCUAAUUUAUAAUUGUUAUGAGCUUAUUUUAUUGAAGAAUUUACGUGUAUUACUGGAUAUAUAUUUUUGAUGUUGUGGUUGUUAUCGGAUAUAGACGUGUAUAGUAUAGCUUUUUCAGGUGAUAUGAACUAUGAAGAAAAACCUCUCAUAUAAAUGGUGGCAAAAAACUACUACCAUUUGUUAACCAUACAGCCUUGGGAAUUCCCAUAAAAGACAUCCAAAGCUCCUAAAAAUUCCAUCAAUUCCUGGUUGGCAGGGUCGACAACAGCUGUAUUGUUUUAGUAACUUCCCAGAUCACAAUCUUAUGUUGAAUGGACAAGUGAUGAGAUGUUAGAAUUUCUCAAUAUUGUGUUGCUGAUGAUUUAUGAAUAUAAUUUAGCAAGAAACAUAUUGAGAUUAUUUUUCAAUAUUGUUUUGUG
This 5587-nucleotide long non-coding RNA is filed under the name Olea europaea subsp. europaea. The record is from RNAcentral. Lineage: Eukaryota; Viridiplantae; Streptophyta; Magnoliopsida; Lamiales; Oleaceae.